UUGAUUGUAAUUGAUCACCAGGGAACACAGGGGACAUCAAUUAACUCACAGUUGUUAAAGAUUUUAAAAGAGAGAGAAGGCUAAGCUGCAUCAACUGCAUGGUGUGUUAAGGAGAAUAGUGCAAGUGAAGGAUGGGAGGUAGCAACAUCCCGAGGUCUCUUUUCUAAUGCAACAACAUGCAAAUCAUUUGUGUGUCUGCAGUGUAACCUGUGAGGCUGGCAGUGGAAAAAUAUUCAAGGUUGUGCUGUGAUCUAAGAAUACAAAAUAAUGAGGUGCUGCAUUUUGUGUCAAGAGGUCUGUGGCCAGAAGGAAGGAACCAGCCCUUUUCUAAAGAGGAUGUCAUUUGAGUGUCCAAGCAGAAAUCUCUGCACUACAGCACUGUAGAAAGCCUGGUCAGCCCUGGCUAAAAACUCGGGCUAAACUUGGUUAUGUGAGUCACCACUUCACUGACUUCACACCGCAGGCACGACGGGAAGUAACAGCAGUGAUGCUGAUAGACACCAGAGCACAGAAGAGGGGAGAAAUCAUGAGAAGCAAAAAUAAAGGGCCAGUUUCUCCUCUAUGAUGGCUAGAAGGAAUCAGCCAUAGGAUUCCCGACUGGAAUGAUCCAAGCCAGGCAGCUGAGUCCCUGCGUGGCAGGAGCGGGGCUGUGGGGACCGCAGGCUCUUGCAGGGAGCGCUGCUCGCUCCGGCAGCGCCGCAUCUGCGGGAUGGGGACGGCGGGGACACGGCCGACUGGACCGGCACCGGCACCGGCACCUCCUGCUGGGCUGCACCGAGCGGCCCCCGGGCCAGAGCUGCUCCGCCGCUGGCUCAGAGAACAGGUUCGCUCAGCGAUUUCCUGGGCUGGAGAGGGCACCGAGUGCGCACGUGUGUGGUGAGGAGGUGCUGCUGGAAGGGAGGAAAAUGCGGGCACAAGAAGUGAUUAAACCACUCAUUAAGUUUAAUAGACUUGCUAUUUAUAUCGGACUUGGCAUUGCAGCAGUAGGUAGGAACGCGUUAGCCAAAGGAAAAUCAAAAUAUGACCUAACAAAGCUAGGAGUCAAGAAUUUGGACAGGAAUGGUAUUAGUUUAUACUUUUUUUUUUUUCCCCCAAGAAACUACUCCUUUUUUCAGAGAUGCCUUUCCAGCUUGCAAGUUUCAAGCAGAAGCUUCAUCAGCUUUACUGUGGGAAAGGCAUAUCCUGGCCAAACGAUCCUCUGCUAUCAGGAUUGCCCCUUGCUGUGCACAGGGAGGUUGCUCCCCGGCUGCCAGGCAAGAGCAGGACAGGGGAAGUGCUGCUUGCAGAAUGCAUCAGGAGGAGCAGCGUGAGCCUGCGAGUGGGAAACCACAGUCCCCAGCUAAAGGCUGAACUUCAAAUUCACAGGGGCAAAACUUAGAAUUCAACAUCCCUGCCCUGUGUGUCUUAGCUCACAGUGUGUAAACAUCAGCCCUCUGAUGAAAGGGAAGGAAAUGAGCCCUGUUGGUAACAAAGUCGAUGCAAAGGUUAUCACUGACUGACUCCAGCUGGUCCUUGGCUGAUGCACAGGCAUUCAUGGCUGUGAAAGAACUGAAGUUCACAUAAACGACUAACAAAACUUAUACACAAAGGAUUUAUUACAUGAAUAAUUUGACAUACUCCACGGUAGUCAGAUACAAGUGCAUUUAAUUAAUGUUUUGUGGACAUCAUAACAGUCGGAAUAUUUUAGCUGAACAGUCAGUAUUCGGCUGAAUUCAAGCCAGUGCAAUUCAUGACAUAACCAGAAACAGGGAGUUACAGGUCUACAAUGAGGUUAGACUAGAUAGCAACAGCAUAUUUAUUGUCACAUCAAAGCAUUACAAAGUAUGAAAGCCCAAUAUUUCAACUAUCUCUAAAAUGGUAUUUGUACAAAGCUGUUGUAGAUAUUUAAAUGUAAGGAUUCGUCGCAUCAGGAAUGGACCGUGACUUUAUUUUUGGAAGUUAUUUGAAUAUUCAAAACUAUUUGGGGCAACAAGAAGAAAUGUAAACAUCUGACAGUCCUUUGAAGGUCCCUUCUGAGAAAAUACAUUGUGUGCCACAGGAAAAGUGCAUUCUAACUGGUGUGUCUGCUAUGGCCAGUUUGACUCACAUUCACUUAGCACCAGGUAUUAAUCCAUUUCUGCAGUAAAAAGUUAGAAAAUCUUUGUAU
Parus major (Great Tit) is the source of this 2146-nucleotide long non-coding RNA. RefSeq lists it as uncharacterized. Lineage: Eukaryota; Metazoa; Chordata; Aves; Passeriformes; Paridae. The transcript has 3 exons. The record is from RefSeq and is a predicted model, not a curated record.